CCUACGGGAGGCAGCAGUGGGGAAUAUUGCACAAUGGGGGAAACCCUGAUGCAGCGACGCCGCGUGAGUGAAGAAGUAUUUCGGUAUGUAAAGCUCUGUCAGCAGGGAAGAAAAUGACGGUACCUGACCAAGAAGCCCCGGCUAACUACGUGCCAGCAGCCGCGGUAAUACGUAGGGGGCAAGCGUUAUCCGGAUGUACUGGGUGUAAAGGGAGCGUAGACGGCAGGGCAAGUCUGGGGUGAAAGGCGGGGGCUCAACCCGGGGACUGCUCUGGAAACUGGCAGGCUGGAGUGCAGGAGAGGUAAGUGGAAUUCCUGGUGUAGCGGUGAAAUGCGUAGAUAUUAGGAGGAACACCAGUGGCGAAGGCGACUUACUGGACUGUAACUGACGUUGAGGCUCGAAAGCGUGGGGAGCAAACAGGAUUAGAUACCCGGGUAGUC
RNAcentral lists this ribosomal RNA (440 nucleotides) under uncultured bacterium. RNAcentral describes it as "partial 16S ribosomal RNA". It matches the Rfam family "Bacterial small subunit ribosomal RNA", at positions 338 to 795 of the family's 1533-position model. The record is from RNAcentral.